UGAGUUUGAUCAUGGCUCAGGAUGAACGCUGGCGGCGUGCUUAACACAUGCAAGUCGAACGGUGAAGCAGAGCUUGCUCUGUGGAUCAGUGGCGAACGGGUGAGUAACACGUGAGCAACCUGCCCCGGACUCUGGGAUAAGCGCUGGAAACGGCGUCUAAUACUGGAUACGAGCAGCGGAGGCAUCUUCAGCUGCUGGAAAGAUUUUUUGGUCUGGGAUGGGCUCGCGGCCUAUCAGCUUGUUGGUGAGGUAAUGGCUCACCAAGGCGUCGACGGGUAGCCGGCCUGAGAGGGUGACCGGCCACACUGGGACUGAGACACGGCCCAGACUCCUACGGGAGGCAGCAGUGGGGAAUAUUGCACAAUGGGCGGAAGCCUGAUGCAGCAACGCCGCGUGAGGGACGACGGCCUUCGGGUUGUAAACCUCUUUUAGCAAGGAAGAAGCGAAAGUGACGGUACCUGCAGAAAAAGCGCCGGCU
Molecule: ribosomal RNA, 478 nt
Filed under: Microbacterium sp.
Lineage: Bacteria; Bacillati; Actinomycetota; Actinomycetes; Micrococcales; Microbacteriaceae
Description: bacterial SSU rRNA
Rfam family: Bacterial small subunit ribosomal RNA
Source: RNAcentral